GGGGAGAUACCAGAGUGGCCAAAUGGGACAGACUGUAAAUCUGUUGCUUAAUUGCUUCGAAGGUUCGAAUCCUUCUCUCCCCA
This 83-nucleotide transfer RNA is filed under the name Bacteroidota bacterium. RNAcentral describes it as "Bacteroidetes bacterium (activated sludge metagenome) tRNA-Tyr". It matches the Rfam family "tRNA". From Rfam's summary of the family: Transfer RNA (tRNA) molecules are approximately 80 nucleotides in length. Their secondary structure includes four short double-helical elements and three loops (D, anti-codon, and T loops). Further hydrogen bonds mediate the characteristic L-shaped molecular structure. tRNAs have two regions of fundamental functional importance: the anti-codon, which is responsible for specific mRNA codon recognition, and the 3' end, to which the tRNAs corresponding amino acid is attached (by aminoacyl-tRNA synthetases). tRNAs cope with the degeneracy of the genetic code in two manners: having more than one tRNA (with a specific anti-codon) for a particular amino acid; and 'wobble' base-pairing, i.e. permitting non-standard base-pairing at the 3rd anti-codon position. Lineage: Bacteria; Pseudomonadati; Bacteroidota. The record is from RNAcentral. RNAcentral also lists the same sequence under 3 other names.